This 566-nucleotide ribosomal RNA is filed under the name Paraeuchaeta antarctica. RNAcentral's name for it is "LSU rRNA". It matches the Rfam family "Eukaryotic large subunit ribosomal RNA", at positions 2324 to 2884 of the family's 3401-position model. The record is from RNAcentral. Lineage: Eukaryota; Metazoa; Arthropoda; Copepoda; Calanoida; Euchaetidae.
UUAACGAGAUUCCCACUGUCCCUAUCUACUAUCUAGCGAAACCGCAGCCAAGGGAACGGACUUGGGAAGAUCAGCGGGGAAAGAAGACCCUGUUGAGCUUGACUCUAGUCUCCUUUUGUAGAGGAGCAUUUCUGGCGUAGAAUAGGGAGGAGGCUUCGGCCGACAGUGAAAUACUCCUACGGAAAUCGCUCCUCUGCUUACACGGUUAGGCGAAAUUAGGACCUUCGGGGCCUAUUUCUUGAAUCAAAUGGGCGGGCUUGUUCUCGCCCAUGAUUCGCUCCGUGGACAUUGCGAGGCGGGGAGUUUGACUGGGGCGGUACAUCUGUCAAAUGAUAACGCAGGUGUCCUAAGGCCAGCUCAGUGAGGACGGAAACCUCACGUGGAGCAAAAGGGCAAAAGCUGGCUUGACCUUUCCCUUCAGUACGGGGCAAGGAGCAGAAAUGUCGGCCUAUCGAUCCUCUUUAUUUCGGAGUUUGAAGAAAGAGGUGUCAGAAAAGUUACCACAGGGAUAACUGGCUUGUGGCCGCCAAGCGUUCAUAGCGACGGGCUUUUUGAUCCUUCGAUGU